CGGAGGAUCCAAGCGUUAUCCGGAUUCAUUGGGUUUAAAGGGUGCGUAGGCGGAAUAGUAAGUCAGUGGUGAAAUCCUGUCGCUUAACGACAGAACUGCCAUUGAUACUGCUAAUCUUGAGUACAUUUGAAGUGGGCGGAAUGUGUAGUGUAGUGGUGAAAUACUUAGAUAUUACACAGAACACCGAUUGCGAAGGCAGCUCACUAAACUGUAACUGACGCUGAGGCACGAAAGCGUGGGGAUCAAACAGGAUUAGAUACCCUGGUAGUCCACGCUGUAAACGUUGAUAACUCGUUGUUGGCGAUAUACUGUCAGCGACUAAGCGAAAGUGAUAAGUUAUCCACCUGGGGAGUACGGUCGCAAGAUUG
Molecule: ribosomal RNA, 368 nt
Filed under: uncultured organism
Description: bacterial SSU rRNA
Rfam family: Bacterial small subunit ribosomal RNA
Source: RNAcentral